Molecule: ribosomal RNA, 549 nt
Filed under: Pantoea stewartii
Lineage: Bacteria; Pseudomonadati; Pseudomonadota; Gammaproteobacteria; Enterobacterales; Erwiniaceae
Description: bacterial SSU rRNA
Rfam family: Bacterial small subunit ribosomal RNA
Source: RNAcentral
GCACAGAGGAGCUUGCUCCUCGGGUGACGAGUGGCGGACGGGUGAGUAAUGUCUGGGAAACUGCCCGAUGGAGGGGGAUAACUACUGGAAACGGUAGCUAAUACCGCAUAACGUCGCAAGACCAAAGUGGGGGACCUCCGGGCCUCACACCAUCGGAUGUGCCCAGAUGGGAUUAGCUUGUAGGCGGGGUAACGGCCCACCUAGGCGACGAUCCCUAGCUGGUCUGAGAGGAUGACCAGCCACACUGGAACUGAGACACGGUCCAGACUCCUACGGGAGGCAGCAGUGGGGAAUAUUGCACAAUGGGCGCAAGCCUGAUGCAGCCAUGCCGCGUGUAUGAAGAAGGCCUUCGGGUUGUAAAGUACUUUCAGCGGGGAGGAAGGUGNUGAGGUUAAUAACCUCAGCNAUUGACGUUACCCGCAGAAGAAGCACCGGCUAACUCCGUGCCAGCAGCCGCGGUAAUACGGAGGGUGCAAGCGUUAAUCGGAAUUACUGGGCGUANAGCGCACGCAGGCGGUCUGUUAAGUCAGAUGUGAAAUCCCCGGGCUU